Molecule: ribosomal RNA, 495 nt
Filed under: uncultured bacterium
Lineage: Bacteria
Description: partial 16S ribosomal RNA
Rfam family: Bacterial small subunit ribosomal RNA
Source: RNAcentral
GAUGAACGCUGGCGGCGUGCCUAAUACAUGCAAGUCGAGCGAACAGACGAGGAGCUUGCUCCUCUGACGUUAGCGGCGGACGGGUGAGUAACACGUGGAUAACCUACCUAUAAGACUGGGAUAACUUCGGGAAACCGGAGCUAAUACCGGAUAAUAUAUUGAACCGCAUGGUUCAAUAGUGAAAGACGGUUUUGCUGUCACUUAUAGAUGGAUCCGCGCCGCAUUAGCUAGUUGGUAAGGUAACGGCUUACCAAGGCAACGAUGCGUAGCCGACCUGAGAGGGUGAUCGGCCACACUGGAACUGAGACACGGUCCAGACUCCUACGGGAGGCAGCAGUAGGGAAUCUUCCGCAAUGGGCGAAAGCCUGACGGAGCAACGCCGCGUGAGUGAUGAAGGUCUUCGGAUCGUAAAACUCUGUUAUUAGGGAAGAACAAAUGUGUAAGUAACUAGGCACGUCUUGACGGUACCUAAUCAGAAAGCCACGGCUAACUACG